UCAGUAAGAGACAGAAACGAAAAAAGGUCAGUUUUUUCAUUUUCUGAGACCGGAAGUGGUCAUCAGCAAGUAUGGAGCCAAACUGAGUACGGUGCAUAGACUGUAUAUACAUUUUUUUUCGUUAGUUUUCAUGGUUAAAAUGAGAGAUCAGGUGGCCGAUCUUAAAAUAAAUCAAUGUUGAUUUUUUUUUAUAGCGCGUUAAAGUUUUGCGAAGCCAGGGGGCGGGACUACUUGAUUGACAGUCCGGUCUGGAAUGAUUGACAGGUCCUAUGGAGGAGGCAGCAGAGACUCUGUUCUCCUCGUUUGGAUUAAUUCUGAUAUAAUAACUGUUGGUUUAUUUAUCGGUGGAGCAGCAGAACAUUUUCCACAGACAGUUUUCCUGCCCGUUGGCUUGUUUUAACCAGUUUUCUACCUUCGGCUGAUUCUACCAGCAGACACUGAAAGGACUCUGAUAGUUCGAGUGAAAGUAGCAAUUCCUCCUGAAGGUCAGAGAUUGCAGCAUCUGAGGGCCUCUUCAAAAGAAGACAUAGUUGAUGAAGGCGUUCUGGAGCAGGACCAGAAAGACCACGACCAAGCAGCCUUGAGAUCUUAGGCAGCGUCUCCCUCAGGUCCCUCUCUAUCUCCCCACACAUCCACCAACCACUGGAACACAUCUCCAAAGUUCUGCAGGGCCAGCUCAGCUUCCCCUCAGAAGAAGUGGCGCCACCUGCCAGAUGAAGGAGCCUUUUGAGAGGCAGCUGGCAUCGUGAUUGGACUGUACUUUGGUCUGUUCCAAUCCAGCUUCAGCUCCAGAGACGGCAGGCGGGACGAGUCAACGGAGGCCGGGUGGACGAAGGCAUGCAGCUGAGUCGAAAAAAAAUGUGAUUUUUCAACAUGUUGUAAAAACGUGCCAUAUGAUGAAAUAAUGUAAAGGAGGCUGUGAAAAACACUAUGGUAAGGUUCUCGUUGAAAAAAAAUCAUCAUGAAUUUUGGCGCAAAAAAAAC
Long non-coding RNA from Amphiprion ocellaris (clown anemonefish), 984 nucleotides. RefSeq lists it as uncharacterized. NCBI's taxonomy places the organism in Eukaryota, Metazoa, Chordata, Actinopteri, Pomacentridae. The record is from RefSeq and is a predicted model, not a curated record. The transcript is spliced from 3 exons.